RNAcentral lists this long non-coding RNA (382 nucleotides) under Homo sapiens (human). Its description in RNAcentral is "HSALNT0002154". Lineage: Eukaryota; Metazoa; Chordata; Mammalia; Primates; Hominidae. The record is from RNAcentral.
CAAUAAAUCUAAAGUUAUUUUGAAAUCAAAAGUUUCUUAUCUAACAAACUAACGGGAUAAAGGGGAAAGUCUUUGAGCCUGAGCUCCUGGAUGCCCUGCCUCUCACUGAUGACGUAAGAACAAGGGGGUGAGAGGAGGCCAUCACACACUCUUCUGCCAACAGGAAAGUCGGGCUGAGAGGGUAGUCAUGUCUGGACAAGGGGGAGGGGCCUACUGACUGAGAAGAUGGCAAGAGAAGAGGAGUGGGGGACCUGACCCAAUAUCUAUAGCAUGUGGGAGACAAGUGCCAAGUAGGAAGAGGAUGGUGGUAGAACUCCCAAUGGCCCACCCUGAGAUGGCUUCAAAUCAAGUCCCACGGGCAGAAAGCAAACAGUGGCUCCAC